CGGAAACGACUUAUCUGAACCUUCGGGGAACGAUAACGGCGUCGAGCGGCGGACGGGUGAGUAAUGCCUAGGAAAUUGCCUUGAUGUGGGGGAUAACCAUUGGAAACGAUGGCUAAUACCGCAUAAUGCCUACGGGCCAAAGAGGGGGACCUUCGGGCCUCUCGCGUCAAGAUAUGCCUAGGUGGGAUUAGCUAGUUGGUGAGGUAAUGGCUCACCAAGGCGACGAUCCCUAGCUGGUCUGAGAGGAUGAUCAGCCACACUGGAACUGAGACACGGUCCAGACUCCUACGGGAGGCAGCAGUGGGGAAUAUUGCACAAUGGGCGAAAGCCUGAUGCAGCCAUGCCGCGUGUAUGAAGAAGGCCUUCGGGUUGUAAAGUACUUUCAGUUGUGAGGAAGGGGGUGUCGUUAAUAGCGCCAUCUCUUGACGUUAGCAACAGAAGAAGCACCGGCUAACUCCGUGCCAGCAGCCGCGGUAAUACGGAGGGUGCGAGCGUUAAUCGGAAUUACUGGGCGUAAAGCGCAUGCAGGUGGCUCAUUAAGUCAGAUGUGAAAGCCCGGGGCUCAACCUCGGCACUGGAUUUUGAACUGGUGGAAUAAAAAUAAUGGAAAAG
RNAcentral lists this ribosomal RNA (612 nucleotides) under Vibrio splendidus. RNAcentral's name for it is "bacterial SSU rRNA". It matches the Rfam family "Bacterial small subunit ribosomal RNA", at positions 67 to 658 of the family's 1533-position model. The record is from RNAcentral. Lineage: Bacteria; Pseudomonadati; Pseudomonadota; Gammaproteobacteria; Vibrionales; Vibrionaceae.